Molecule: ribosomal RNA, 473 nt
Filed under: Escherichia coli
Lineage: Bacteria; Pseudomonadati; Pseudomonadota; Gammaproteobacteria; Enterobacterales; Enterobacteriaceae
Description: bacterial SSU rRNA
Rfam family: Bacterial small subunit ribosomal RNA
Source: RNAcentral
AAAUUGAAGAGUUUGAUCAUGGCUCAGAUUGAACGCUGGCGGCAGGCCUAACACAUGCAAGUCGAACGGUAACAGGAAGCAGCUUGCUGCUUUGCUGACGAGUGGCGGACGGGUGAGUAAUGUCUGGGAAACUGCCUGAUGGAGGGGGAUAACUACUGGAAACGGUAGCUAAUACCGCAUAACGUCGCAAGACCAAAGAGGGGGACCUUCGGGCCUCUUGCCAUCGGAUGUGCCCAGAUGGGAUUAGCUUGUUGGUGGGGUAACGGCUCACCAAGGCGACGAUCCCUAGCUGGUCUGAGAGGAUAACCAGCCACACUGGAACUGAGACACGGUCCAGACUCCUACGGGAGGCAGCAGUGGGGAAUAUUGCACAAUGGGCGCAAGCCUGAUGCAGCCAUGCCGCGUGUAUGAAGAAGGCCUUCGGGUUGUAAAGUACUUUCAGCGGGGAGGAAGGGAGUAAAGUUAAUACCUUU